UGGACUUCUAGGGGAGGGGUCAUGACCUGAGAGUUUGAUCAGUAAUCUGCUGGAGCAUGUGGUGCAAACAAUAGCUAAUCAAUCAUCACAACAGGUAUGCUGACCUUCUACCAUCUGUGACUGCUUAAUGACAUUGACUGAAGGUUUCUAUUAAAACAGGCAGAAGAGGAUGAAGAUGGAAAAGGAAAAAGAGGAAGAAAAGGAAAUCCAGGAAUCCAAGUGGAUCCUAUCAUAGUGGCCCCAACCCAGCUGGUCAUAGCUGAUUAUAAAAUGGACUCCACCAUUCUCCACAUACUGUACACAGGAAUUACUUUUUCAGAAAUAAUUAAUGCACCAUGACUAAAUUUAUGGCACAUCAGCCUCACUCUUGCCAUUGCACCAAAAUGAAGGAUGCAGGUUAAAGGCAAAUGUUA
Mauremys reevesii (Reeves's turtle) is the source of this 413-nucleotide long non-coding RNA. RefSeq lists it as uncharacterized. The record is from RefSeq and is a predicted model, not a curated record. The transcript has 5 exons. Lineage: Eukaryota; Metazoa; Chordata; Testudines; Geoemydidae.